GAAUAUUCUUGAUUUCACCGCUCUCUUUUUCCUUCUUUUCCAGUAUUUUUACACUAUGCUAUGUUAUAGUGUUUUCAGCGAUAGCAAGAAAAUACUGUAGCGUAGUAUGAAAACACUAUGGUAUAGUAUUGUGCUAUAAUGCUUUCAUGUUAUAGCUAAAAAUACUGUAACAUAAUAUAAAAAUAUAGUAAUUGGAUCGGUUCACAUAUGGACGGGUGCAUAGGGAAAAAAAAAAGAAAAAGACGAUGCAUAUAAAAAAAAAAAGGAGAAAGGGAGAUAGCUGAAGGUAUUUCAUGCGUUAGAUAAAAUAAAAACAUUAUUAGAAAAUUUUAAAAACGAAAGGCAUUUCUCAGGAAAAAAAAAUCGAAAACGGAUGUAUUUUCUUUUCGAUAAUUCACCCUUGGAAUGGGAUGUAAUAUGACGGAGCACAUCUCCACCUAUAAAAACC
This 448-nucleotide long non-coding RNA is filed under the name Musa acuminata (dwarf banana). Its description in RNAcentral is "long non-coding RNA (MACU_LNC008392)". The record is from RNAcentral. Lineage: Eukaryota; Viridiplantae; Streptophyta; Magnoliopsida; Zingiberales; Musaceae.